UAAAAUUGUGACUACAUAAGCAUAUUUAAGAGUGCGAGCGAAUCAUAGGACGAAAAUAAAAAUUAAAAAAAAAGCGAAAGGUGUAUUCUUUAUGAGAAAAAAUAUACAUAUAUCUACAUAUGUUAGAUCUAUGAAUAAUAAAUAUUCACUAAAAAUAUAUAUACUAUUAUAUUUAUUCAGCUAAUACUGAAAAAGGGCUAGAAUAUUCUAAACACUGUCAAAAAAAAAAAAAAAAAAAAAAAUAAAAAAAACAAAUGAAUAACAGUCUCCCAACAUAAAAAAAUACAGCAUAACGCUCUCUUUUUCUUAUAAACACAGUUUUGUAAAAUUGUAAGUUUUUUAUAAGAACAAGUAUACAUACGUGCGUCCAUAUAUAUAUAUAUAUAUUGUAAAAAAGUAUGCCAAAAAAUUGUUUUAUUAACUGAACAAUUAACAAUUUUAUGCUUUUUUAAUACUAACUUAUUUUUAAUUUAAGUUUUUGUGUGUUUUUUACACGAAGUUAUAAAAAUAUAUCAUAAAUAACAAACAGAACUGAAGCACCUGCAUUUACUGAAGUAGUAAAAAUAGUUAAACAUAAAAAGAAAAAUAUAAACAAAAGAAAAAAAAAAAAAAUGAAUAUACAGAAGGCUAAAGAGAAUUCCAAACUAAUAGAACUUUCAAAGCAAAACUUAGAAAAUGUAACAAAACCUUUACCAAAAAAUUACACAUAUAUGUAUGAAUAUAUAUAUAUAUGCAUGUAUGUAUAUGCAUAUAAAUGAGUAAAAGUAUAACUAUAUAUAUUUUUUUCUUUUCCUUCUAACCUUUUUUUUUUAUAGCAAACGAAAAAGGAACUGGAAAUCAAACAAAAACAACAGUACAACUACAACAUUGAAUUGCAAAAAAAAAAAAAUAAAUAAAAUAACAUCCAAGCAUAUAAUGGACAUAUACUAAUUUACAUUAAUUAAACUGUUUGUGUUAUAUGUACUCAAACGCAAGCAUCUUUGAACCGCUUACCUAAUUUUAUUUUAUUUUAUUUUAUUUGGUUUUAUUUGGUUUUAUUUUAUUUUAUUUUAUUUGGUUUUAUUUUAUUUUAUUUUCUUUUAUAUAGAGAAAUAUUAGAACAAAGAAGAGUUAUUUUGAAAUCCUUACUAACACCAGAUGCCCACGCUAGAUUAUCUAGGAUAAGUAUUGUCAAAGAAGAAAAUGCGAGGCAAAUAGAAGACAUAAUUAUUAGGGUAAAAAAAAAAAAAAAAAAAAAAAAAAAAGGACAUGGUGUUUUUUUAACGGUUGCAACAUACAUAGUCUUACCAAAAUGUUAUCACGUUUUAGUCAUACUUAUACAAUCGCGCAUACCUAUAAUAAGAUAUCCUUUAAAAAAAUAAAUAAAAGGAAUGAAAUAAAUAAAAAAAAUAAGUUAUAAUAGUGACGCUA
This 1410-nucleotide long non-coding RNA is filed under the name Piliocolobus tephrosceles (Ugandan red Colobus). RNAcentral's name for it is "lncRNA (ENSPTEG00000010264.1)". The record is from RNAcentral. Lineage: Eukaryota; Metazoa; Chordata; Mammalia; Primates; Cercopithecidae.